Molecule: transfer RNA, 74 nt
Filed under: Elusimicrobia bacterium CG1_02_37_114
Lineage: Bacteria; Pseudomonadati; Elusimicrobiota
Also listed under: 2 other names
Description: tRNA-Arg
Rfam family: tRNA
About the family: Transfer RNA (tRNA) molecules are approximately 80 nucleotides in length.
Source: RNAcentral
GGGCCCGUAGCUCAACUGGAUAGAGCGUCUGGCUUCGAACCAGCAGGUUAGGGGUUCAAGUCCCCUCGGGCCCU